GACGAACGCUGGCGGCGUGCCUAAUACAUGCAAGUCGAGCGAGCUUGCCUAGAUGAAUUUGGUGCUUGCACCAGAUGAAACUAGAUACAAGCGAGCGGCGGACGGGUGAGUAACACGUGGGUAACCUGCCCAAGAGACUGGGAUAACACCUGGAAACAGAUGCUAAUACCGGGUAACAACACUAGACGCAUGUCUAGAGUUUAAAAGAUGGUUCUGCUAUCACUCUUGGAUGGACCUGCGGUGCAUUAGCUAGUUGGUAAGGCAACGGCUUACCAAGGCAAUGAUGCAUAGCCGAGUUGAGAGACUGAUCGGCCACAUUGGGACUGAGACACGGCCCAAACUCCUACGGGAGGCAGCAGUAGGGAAUCUUCCACAAUGGACGCAAGUCUGAUAGAGCAACGCCGCGUGAGUGAAGAAGGGUUUCGGCUCGUAAAGCCCUGUUGGUAGUGAAGAAAGAUAGAGGUAGUAACUGGCCUUUAUUUGACGGUAAUUACUUAGAAAGUCACGGCUAACUACGUG
This 519-nucleotide ribosomal RNA is filed under the name uncultured bacterium. RNAcentral describes it as "partial 16S ribosomal RNA". It matches the Rfam family "Bacterial small subunit ribosomal RNA", at positions 28 to 507 of the family's 1533-position model. The record is from RNAcentral.